UACGGAAGGCAGCAGUGGGGAAUAUUGCACAAUGGGCGCAAGCCUGAUGCAGCCAUGCCGCGUGUAUGAAAAAGGCCUUCGGGUUGUAAAGUACUUUCAGUCGUGAGGAAGGUGUUAAGGUUAAUAACCUUAGCAAUUGACGUUAGCGACAGAAGAAGCACCGGCUAACUCCGUGCCAGCAGCCGCGGUAAUACGGAGGGUGCGAGCGUUAAUCGGAAUUACUGGGCGUAAAGGGCACGCAGGCGGUUAAUUAAGUUGGAUGUGAAAUCCCCGGGCUUAACCUGGGAAUGGCAUUCAAGACUGGUUAGCUAGAGUCUUGUAGAGGGGGGUAGAAUUCCAUGUGUAGCGGUGAAAUGCGUAGAGAUGUGGAGGAAUACCGGUGGCGAAGGCGGCCCCUGGACAAAGACUGACGCUCAUGUGCGAAAGCGUGGGGAGCAAACGAGGGAUUUAGAUACC
RNAcentral lists this ribosomal RNA (456 nucleotides) under uncultured bacterium. RNAcentral's name for it is "bacterial SSU rRNA". It matches the Rfam family "Bacterial small subunit ribosomal RNA", at positions 340 to 786 of the family's 1533-position model. The record is from RNAcentral.